Molecule: non-coding RNA, 73 nt
Organism: Podarcis lilfordi (Lilford's wall lizard)
Lineage: Eukaryota; Metazoa; Chordata; Lepidosauria; Squamata; Lacertidae
Source: the annotation of a GenBank genome assembly
GCCAAGAUAGCUCAGUCGGUAGAGCAGGAGACUCUUAAUUUCUUGGUCGUGAGUUUGAGCCCCACAUUGGGCA